This 3303-nucleotide long non-coding RNA is filed under the name Pelobates cultripes (western spadefoot toad). Lineage: Eukaryota; Metazoa; Chordata; Amphibia; Anura; Pelobatidae. The record is from RNAcentral.
CUUAUCAUUUUAAGUUUUACCGAGCCUUUAGCCUUCUCAUUACCAUCCAUAAGAUGCCUUUAGGCAAAGAAUUUAUCUGUUUAUUUUCAGGAUAUCUUUUGGGCUUAUCUUAAUAUUACCAUUAUUUUUGAAUAGAGCAGUGAAUAGUUAUAGCUGAGCCUGACAUCUACAAUGUUAACUAAGAGUAACUGAGUGUGUAAAGAAGUGCAACAAAAUGAGACAGGUCAGAUACGGUUCUUCCUCCAACUAGGAUCAGAUAAAAAAAAAGGAAUUGUAGAGUAAAAGCCUUGUGAAAAUGCCAUAUUUUGUGAUCUUAAAUACACUAUCAUGUUGAUAGGUAGAAAUGGCCAUUUGAUUAUUAAUUACUUUUUGGCAGUUAGACUAUACCUUGAAACAUUAUUAUAGAACUAUAUCAGUCAGCUCAGUCUUGUUACAUUCUGAAUAUAUAGAUCUGUUCAAGACAGUGGGAACAUAAAGAGAUCCUUGUUGUAUUCUAUAUAAAACUAUUCUUAAAAAAGCAGAAAAAGAAAUCAUGUGAAAAGAUUAGUGCAUUUAACAAAUACCAUUACCUUGAAAACUGCAACAUGUUUAUGUCAUUUUACAAUUGCACUUUUUGUCCUAGCAUUUGGUACUUGUGUAAAAUAUAUUUUUUAUUACUUUAUGUAUUUCUCUAUAAAAGCAAGAUUGUAAUAUAUCAGAGAUAACAUUUUGUUCAUGGUUUCAUGUUCACUAAGACAUUUCUUUUUAAUUAAGCACACAUGAAACAAAGUUAUUUCAACUUCUGUUAGUAUAUUAAAAAUGAGUUUAAGAUAUUGCAACAUUUAAGAAAACUGCAAAUAUUUUUAGGCUUGGUGAUGUGCCGCAAAGAUAAUGUUAUGGAUUAUUGAUUUACUAAGCAAAUAAAAUGAAGCUAUCUAAUGUAUACUCUUUAAAUGUUCUAAGUAGUAUACCCUCUACAGCACAUUGUACUGGUUAUGGUGCUGCAGUCUGACAAAAAAGGGUGCGUUCCUGGUGUCUAUGCAUAGCCCUUUGCCUGCUUGUCUGUUAAUGUGGAAGUGAAUUUUGAGAUUAUCCAGUUCAACUUUAGUCUGCAAUGACAGUCUGAAAGGACGUGGCUAAACCUACUUCCAAAUGGAGCUGUCAAAAAAUAUUCAUAAAUCUAUAGAUUAGUUGUUUUGUUUUUAACUGAAGAAAUAUCUCAGGAUAAUUCCCAUUGACCUUAAAUUUCAAAGCUCAAUGAUUAUCCUCUGGGACUCUGCAUAGGACAUGUUUUUUCUUCUGGUCCCAGAGGAUAAUGAUAUUGUUAUAAACUUAGGUUAUACCCUGAUCUAUUCAAAUUGUGACUGACGUCCUCCAAAUCACAUCCUUCCUGCUAUUAUCUAGGGCAAAGUUAUGCCCUGGUCCCCCCAAAUAAGGAAUGAACAUUAAUUUUGGAAACAGUUAGCAUAAAUUUGGUAGAUAAUGAGGCAAUUUAGAAAAUGAAUUAUCAAUUUGCACUAGAUUUACUAUUUUUGAUAAUCUAUCAUAUCUGAAUGAGGUAUAGGGAAGCUAAAUGUUUAUAAAAAAAAAAAAAUAGCUCACAAAUACUACAGGAAUGCAAUCCCAAAUAAUUCCAGAGUGACUUGCCAAUAUAAAAAAAAUGCUAAGCAUCAUGGGAAAUAAAAUACUACAGUGGAUGGGAUCUACUAUUUGGAAGCCACUAUUGUAAAUAUUAAGGAUUAGUUAAGAAUCCCUUUACAUUAAUGUACAUUAAAGAGAAAUGUAGGUAAAGGGAGGUUCAUUUGAAUAGUGUCAUGGGGACAGCAUAUUCUUUGGCACUCUGGGAGGGAUAGUAAGGGAUGUGUAGUAAUAUGAUAAGAUAAAGGCAUCUCUCAGCAUAAAAAAUUAUUUGAAUAAUGGUAAAAUGUACUAAUUCUUGCCAGGGAACUGUACAUUCACGUGUAUGGGUAGUUAUGUUUAUUGUAUUAUUAUUCAAUGCUAUGGAACUUGGUACUCUUCAUCAUGGUGCCCAUUGUGUCCAUUGGAUCCCCAGUGAUCCUAUUUUAACAUUUUAACUUGCUGUGCAUGUUUAAUAGAAGUAGAGGUCCAUAAGGCAGGACCUUCUAUGGGCACAGGGUAAGUCAUCUGCAGCUGAAUAAUAAUUAUUUGUAAUUCCCCAACCAAUCACAUGAGAUAGGUGAAGGAACAGGUGGGCAGCUGUGGAUUCCGAUCUACUCAAUUACAUUUUCAACUCUGGCACAGCGUUUGGGGAGUAACUAAUACUUAAUAUUUCCCAUAACAGUGCACAGGUUUGUAGAUUUGGAAGGAUCAGAUCAUUCAAUAAUGUUUCCAGUCAUAGGUCCCUCCAGGGUAAUUGGGGUCUGGGGCCUUGUGUUGUUUAUUUUUAUUAUGCACUAUUUGCUCACAGAUGUCUUGAACAGUUUGGAGGAUAUUUGUAAAUUAUUGGAGUUUGGUAAAUCUCCGAAUGCAUACUACGUGUGACCAUUUGUUUUUCAAUUUAUUAGCAGAUUACUCAGUGCAUUGUGAGUAUAUACUAUAGUGUGUCUUUGACUCAUUGAUUGUGUUUGGUGUAUAUACAAUUAGUAGUCCAAUAGAAAAUAUGUGAAUUGCCACCAACUAUUGAUAAACCAGUCUGUUUGGAUUUCCAAAAAUCAGAUAGAAAAAGCAUAUUAUACUUGUACUUGGCCUAUAUCAAUAGAAGAUAUUAUGUUAUAGAAUUUGCAAAAUAUAAUGUGCAUCAAUAUCAUUAUAUUUUUUACUUUGCUUUUACUUUCACUGACAGGCACUACUGUAAAACAUAAUUUGAUACAGUACGCAAGUAAUGUUUUUAGUCCCAUAUUAAGUACAUUAUAGUGCAUUUUGUUGGUGAAAAUGAUUGAAAGAGCACAAGUGAAUAAAUAUGCCUUUACGGAUGUUUGAUCUACUGUUCAGAUGCAGGUGUUUACUGUUCAAGUGGUAUGUGAAACAAUCUGUUUGACUAUAACCAGAUGCAUUUAUAUGUUCUAACAAUUAAAUACAAAACGGGUGUUUUGCAUGUAAUCAGUGGGUUGGGAGGAAUGUACACUGUUGUUUGUUGCAAUCUAUUUAUUAAAAAGCUAUUCAUUUCAACCAUUUAUCCUGUUUCCUACUUAUCACCAGCUUUAUGUUGUGUCAUUCCCAGUGAGAGCAUGGCAGUGGCAUUUAACAUAUUUUAAUUACAGAGUCAUGUUGCUUUAAGAUACAUGUGGAAAUAUUAACACAUUUGGCAAUGUUUAGCAUUAGGUAUAUACUACUACCUAAAUGUAUACACGAAAAUAAUUCAAC